CCAGACUCCUACGGGAGGCAGCAGUGGGGAAUAUUGCACAAUGGGGGGAACCCUGAUGCAGCGACGCCGCGUGAGUGAAGAAGUAUUUCGGUAUGUAAAGCUCUAUCAGCAGGGAAGAAAAUGACGGUACCUGACUAAGAAGCCCCGGCUAACUACGUGCCAGCAGCCGCGGUAAUACGUAGGGGGCAAGCGUUAUCCGGAUUUACUGGGUGUAAAGGGAGCGCAGGCGGCACGGCAAGCCUGAUGUGAAAGGCCGCGGCCCAACCGCGGGACUGCAUUGGGAACUACCGGGCUGGAGUGACGGAGAGGUAGGCGGAAUUCCUAGUGUAGCGGUGAAAUGCGUAGAUAUUAGGAGGAACCCCAGUGGCGAAGGCGGCCUGCUGGACUGCAACUGACGUUGAGGCUCGAAGGCGUGGGGAGCAAACAGGAUUAGAUACCCCAGUAUGU
This 447-nucleotide ribosomal RNA is filed under the name uncultured bacterium. RNAcentral's name for it is "bacterial SSU rRNA". It matches the Rfam family "Bacterial small subunit ribosomal RNA", at positions 331 to 794 of the family's 1533-position model. The record is from RNAcentral.